AGGACACAGAGUAGCUGCAGGUAGUUCUAGCCCACUUUCUUGUUUGUGUUCUUUGUAGCUCCAUCACCAUCUGAAAUUACUUACAUAUUUUCUUUCUUCCCCAACUAGAUUUCCUGGGAGCAAUAUCUGAAUGAUCUAUCUGGAUCACAAGCCCACCUCCUUGGCUAUUGGAAAGUACAAUACCUUGAUUUCCAGUCCUACCAGUAUUUCACUCAAUAAAGAAGUAAAGGAAAUAGACUGUCGUUACUAGAAGGAAGAAGAAUGGGUGCUACGAUCAGAAGACAAUUCAUGUCAGUUACAGAAUGAGAGAGAGAGAAAGAGAGAACAUGCAGAGGCAGAAUGACCACGUUGAGCCAUGACACAGGGAAGCAAUAGUUCAUGGAAAUAGUGGGGAGUGCAUUGGAAUUCCUCUGGCUGUAAAACUGGGAGAAUGAGUUUAGUGAGUUGAGUGCACCUGACAUCUAAGAUACAGAUGAAAAAUACCCUAAAUCGAGAUACAUAUAUUGGUGAAUUUCUCUCCUGGUGCAUCCACUUCUGGGCCCUGUUGCAUCAUUUGUACUCCACUUUGGUGGGUCUUGAGAUGCCCUUGAGAUUUCAGGGUCUUAAAUGGGGGCCUCUCUGCUUCGUUCCAUUACCAGAAUCCACCAAGAUGGGAGCAUGCUCUGGGAACCCACUGUCCCAAAAAGAGAUCUGAGGAGCUGACCUGAUACAGAAUUGCCCUAGGUGACCCACAGCGCCAUGAGUGAGAAAAAUAAGAUGUUUGUUGUUGUAAACUGCUGAGGUUAGGAUAUUACUACAAAGCAAAACCUAACUCAUGCACUACUCUUGGAUUCCCAGGUUGAGACCACCCAAGUAAAGCACCUAGCAAGUGACUGACAUGUAAUGUGUACUUAAUAAUGGUUGCCCUUAGGAUUAUUUGGGGCAUGACAAAUCUGUUGGGGUUCCUAUAAUAGAAGUUAGGCUUAGGCCAAUGCCUUGUGAAAUGCUUUGUGUAUGUGUGUGUGUGUGUGUGUGUGUGUUGAUUUGACCCCUGAGAAACUUGAACACACCCAUCUAUUACCAUCUUAUAUACCUGCAGAGAUAACUGUCACCCUACAUCGUGCCUUAGGAUUACAGACUGUGUGAAACUUAACAGCCAUUAUCCUGUUAAGUUUUGCACAGUGGUUUCAUAAUUUCUUGCUUGGGAGUUCUAACUGUAUCUGUUUCAUUAACAUGUAUGCUAGAACUACAU
This 1231-nucleotide long non-coding RNA is filed under the name Canis lupus familiaris (dog). RNAcentral's name for it is "lncRNA (ENSCAFG00000056411.1)". The record is from RNAcentral. Lineage: Eukaryota; Metazoa; Chordata; Mammalia; Carnivora; Canidae.